RNAcentral lists this ribosomal RNA (254 nucleotides) under uncultured bacterium. Its description in RNAcentral is "partial 16S ribosomal RNA". It matches the Rfam family "Bacterial small subunit ribosomal RNA", at positions 524 to 776 of the family's 1533-position model. The record is from RNAcentral.
CACGUAGGCACCGAGCGUUGUCCGAAGUUACUGGGCGUAAAGCGCGCGUAGGCGGGGGGUUAAGUGAGAGGUGAAAGGCUGGGGCUCAACCUCAUGCAGUGCCUCUCAUACUGGCCUUCUUGAGGGCGGUAGGGAGAAGUGGAAUGGCUGGUGUAGCGGUGAAAUGCGUAGAUAUCAGUCGGAACACCGGUGGCGAAGGCGGCUUCUUGGGCCGUUCCUGACGCUGAUGCGCGAAAGCUGGGGGAGCGAACGGG